RNAcentral lists this ribosomal RNA (625 nucleotides) under uncultured fungus. Its description in RNAcentral is "eukaryotic LSU rRNA". It matches the Rfam family "Eukaryotic large subunit ribosomal RNA", at positions 40 to 647 of the family's 3401-position model. Lineage: Eukaryota; Fungi. The record is from RNAcentral.
AUACCAAUAAGCGGAGGAAAAGAAACUAACAAGGAUUCCCCUAGUAACGGCGAGUGAAGAGGGAAAAGCUCAAAUUUUGAAUCUGGUGUCUUUGACUCCCGAGUUGUAAUCUAGAGAAGUGUUUUCCGCGUUGGACCGUGCAAAAGUUCCCUGGAACGGGGCGUCAUAGAGGGUGAGAAUCCCGUAUAUGGCACGGACUACCAUUGCUAUGUGAUACACUCUCAACGAGUCGAGUUGUUUGGGAAUGCAGCUCAAAAUGGGUGGUAAAUUCCAUCUAAAGCUAAAUAUUGGCGAGAGACCGAUAGCGAACAAGUACCGUGAGGGAAAGAUGAAAAGCACUUUGGAAAGAGAGUGAAACAGUACGUGAAAUUGUUGAAAGGGAAGCGUUUGAAGUCAGUCACAUCGGUCGGAGUUCAGCCUGGCUUUGCCUGGUGUAUUUUCUGGCAGAUGGGUCAGCGUCAAUUUUGACUGAGGGAAAAAGACUUGAGGAAUGUGGCUGUCUUCGGGCAGUGUUAUAGCCUCUUGUUGUAUGUCUCAGUUGGGAUUGAGGACCGCAGCACGCCUUAUGGCCGGGGUUCGCGCCCUCGGAACGUGCUUAGGACGCUGGCAUAAUGGCUUUAAGCGA